Molecule: long non-coding RNA, 678 nt
Organism: Bombus impatiens (common eastern bumble bee)
Lineage: Eukaryota; Metazoa; Arthropoda; Insecta; Hymenoptera; Apidae
Exons: 3
Source: RefSeq, a predicted model, not a curated record
CGCACGCGUUUCGAAUGAAAUCCUCUGUUUUAGACUUAAACCGACGUUUAUCGUAGGCUCGAUAAAUCGGUUUCGCUGGAUCUUGCGGCAAGACUGGAUCGGAGAUUGCUUAAACUCGUUUAGAGUUUAACAGAUAGCCGCUCAUUGGAGAGAACGAAUGGUACGAGAGACUCGUGCUAGCAAAUCUUGGACAAGAAAAGUUGGAGAACUUAGCGGAAUAUAGCUAUACGGUUCAAUUUGCUACGUAUUGGGCGCCAUAGGCCGUUCGCGAUGUUUGGAAUCGACAUCGCGGUACAACGAAGGCUCAACGAGGGUCGAUCGUGUAAUCGAGAACAGAUAGGGCGGCACUGGUUUCAACGCGAACUCCAGAUGAUCGAUCAGGUCGAACGGGUUACAUGGCGAAUUUUAUGCUUUUAGCUUAACCACACACAAUACCUCGGCCACUCGCGGAAAUUUAACAUUCGACUGUAUCGAGUUUGAAAAAUGCACUCACGAUUUAUCAUCGGCGAUAAUUCAACGACGUUGCAACGACAAACGGCUGGUUUGCCUCUUUUCUCUCUUUUAUUGUUACGAGCGUUUCGAUAUCCGGACAAAAAGCGAGACAAGCUAGAGAAAAGGCGAGAGCAGACGGUCGAAAGCCGAUCGACUCGUCGUUAAACGAAACUAUUUAUUUUUAUU